AUUGAACGCUGGCGGCAUGCCUUACACAUGCAAGUCGAACGGUAACAGGUCUUCGGAUGCUGACGAGUGGCGAACGGGUGAGUAAUACAUCGGAACGUGCCCGAGAGUGGGGGAUAACGAGGCGAAAGCUUUGCUAAUACCGCAUACGAUCUCAGGAUGAAAGCAGGGGACCGCAAGGCCUUGCGCUCACGGAGCGGCCGAUGGCAGAUUAGGGAGUGGGUGGGAGAAAAGCUUACCAAGCCGACGAUCUGUAGCUGGGCUGAGAGGACGAGCAGCCACACUGGGACUGAGACACGGCCCAGACUCCUACGGGAGGCAGCAGUGGGGAAUUUUGGACAAUGGGCGCAAGCCUGAUCCAGCCAUGCCGCGUGCAGGAUGAAGGCCUUCGGGUUGUAAACUGCUUUUGUACGGAACGAAAAGACUCUGGUUAAUACCUGGGGUCCAUGACGGUACCGUAAGAAUAAGCACCGGCUAACUACGUGCCAGCCGCCGCCGUAA
RNAcentral lists this ribosomal RNA (498 nucleotides) under uncultured bacterium. RNAcentral's name for it is "partial 16S ribosomal RNA". It matches the Rfam family "Bacterial small subunit ribosomal RNA", at positions 29 to 523 of the family's 1533-position model. The record is from RNAcentral.